This 468-nucleotide ribosomal RNA is filed under the name uncultured bacterium. RNAcentral's name for it is "partial 16S ribosomal RNA". It matches the Rfam family "Bacterial small subunit ribosomal RNA", at positions 28 to 507 of the family's 1533-position model. The record is from RNAcentral.
GACGAACGCUGGCGGCGUGCUUAACACAUGCAAGUCGAACGGAAAGGCCCUGCUUUUGUGGGGUGCUCGAGUGGCGAACGGGUGAGUAACACGUGAGUAACCUGCCCUUGACUUUGGGAUAACUUCAGGAAACUGGGGCUAAUACCGGAUAGGAGCUCCUGCUGCAUGGUGGGGGUUGGAAAGUUUCGGCGGUUGGGGAUGGACUCGCGGCUUAUCAGCUUGUUGGUGGGGUAGUGGCUUACCAAGGCUUUGACGGGUAGCCGGCCUGAGAGGGUGACCGGCCACAUUGGGACUGAGAUACGGCCCAGAAUCCUACGGGAGGCAGCAGUGGGGAAUAUUGCACAAUGGGCGGAAGCCUGAUGCAGCAACGCCGCGUGCGGGAUGACGGCCUUCGGGUUGUAAACCGCUUUCGCCUGUGACGAAGCGUGAGUGACGGUAAUGGGUAAAGAAGCACCGGCUAACUAAGUG